Molecule: ribosomal RNA, 254 nt
Filed under: uncultured bacterium
Lineage: Bacteria
Description: partial 16S ribosomal RNA
Rfam family: Bacterial small subunit ribosomal RNA
Source: RNAcentral
UACGUAGGAGGCGAGCGUUGUCCGGAAUUACUGGGCGUAAAGAGCGCGUAGGCGGCGCUGUACGACCGCUGUGAAAGCCCCCGGCUCAACUGGGGAGGGUCAGCGGUUGCGGCAGUGCUCGGAGUCUAGGAGAGGGGAGUGGAACUCCGGGAGUAGCGGUGAAAUGCGUAGAGACCCGGAGGAACACCAGUGGCGAAGGCGGCUCCCUGGCCUAGUACUGACGCUGUGGCGCGAAAGCUGGGGGAGCGAACGGG